Molecule: ribosomal RNA, 459 nt
Filed under: uncultured bacterium
Lineage: Bacteria
Description: partial 16S ribosomal RNA
Rfam family: Bacterial small subunit ribosomal RNA
Source: RNAcentral
CCUACGGGGGGCAGCAGUGAGGAAUAUUGGUCAAUGGCCGAGAGGCUGAACCAGCCAAGUCGCGUGAGGGAAGAAUGUCCUAUGGAUUGUAAACCUCUUUUGUCAGGGAGCAAAGUCACCCACGUGUGGGUGUUGGAGAGUACCUGAAGAAAAAGCAUCGGCUAACUCCGUGCCAGCAGCCGCGGUAAUACGGAGGAUGCGAGCGUUAUCCGGAUUUAUUGGGUUUAAAGGGUGCGUAGGCGGGUUAUCAAGUCAGCGGGAAAAUCUGGGAGCUCAACUCCAACUAGCCGUUGAAACUGAUGAUCUUGAGUGCGCGAGAGGUAUGCGGAAUGCGUGGUGUAGCGGUGAAAUGCAUAGAUAUCACGCAGAACUCCGAUUGCGAAGGCAGCACACCGGCGCCCGACUGACGCUGAAGCACGAAAGCGUGGGUAUCGAACAGGAUUAGAUACCCCGGUAGUC